AGUGAACGCUGGCGGUAGGCCUAACACAUGCAAGUCGAACGGCAGCACAGUAAGAGCUUGCUCUUACGGGUGGCGAGUGGCGGACGGGUGAGGAAUACAUCGGAAUCUACUUUUUCGUGGGGGAUAACGUAGGGAAACUUACGCUAAUACCGCAUACGACCUACGGGUGAAAGCAGGGGAUCUUCGGACCUUGCGCGAUUGAAUGAGCCGAUGUCGGAUUAGCUAGUUGGCGGGGUAAAGGCCCACCAAGGCGACGAUCCGUAGCUGGUCUGAGAGGAUGAUCAGCCAAACUGGCACUGAGACACGGUCCAGACUCCUACGGGAGGCAGCAGUGGGGAAUAUUGGACCAUGGGCGCAAGCCUGAUCCAGCCAUACCGCGUGGGUGAAGAAGGCCUUCGGGUUGUAAAGCCCUUUUGUUGGGAAAGAAAAGCAGCAGGUUAAUACCCCGCUGUUCUGACGGUACCCAGAGAAUAAGCACCGGCUAACUUCGUG
RNAcentral lists this ribosomal RNA (492 nucleotides) under uncultured bacterium. Its description in RNAcentral is "partial 16S ribosomal RNA". It matches the Rfam family "Bacterial small subunit ribosomal RNA", at positions 29 to 507 of the family's 1533-position model. The record is from RNAcentral.